RNAcentral lists this signal recognition particle RNA (267 nucleotides) under Clostridiales bacterium. RNAcentral's name for it is "signal recognition particle sRNA large type". It matches the Rfam family "Bacterial large signal recognition particle RNA". Rfam says of the family: The signal recognition particle (SRP) is a universally conserved ribonucleoprotein involved in the co-translational targeting of proteins to membranes. Archaeal SRP consists of a 7S RNA and homologues of the eukaryotic SRP19 and SRP54 proteins. The record is from RNAcentral. Lineage: Bacteria; Bacillati; Bacillota; Clostridia; Eubacteriales.
UGGUGCUAUAUGGGGAGUUAGCGGUGCCCUGUAACUCGCAAUCCGCUACAGCGAGAUAGAACGUCGUCCGAGGUUAUAUUAGGUUUAGGCAGUAGGGCAGCAAUAGUUGUUGAUAACAAGGUCUUAGGCAAUGUUGUGCCGUGAACCGUGUCAGAGUAGAGAUACAGCAGCACUAAGCGGAUUGCGUACAUGUGCCCUAAGGGAGCUUUGCGGGAGAUUGUUGUUGUCAAGUACGAUAGGUCUAGUAUAGACAGAGGCGAUGCACUG